CGUGAGCGCGGUUUCUCAUUAACCCCAUGAACUCGUGAUGCCAAAACACUGCUGCUGCCGCUGCAGUGUGAAUUUCAGCCUGCCUGGACUGUUUUCAACACGGCAGGAUUAUCAUUCUGGUACCUGCCGAUGACCUUUCGGAGUUGUCACCAAAUCAUCUACCCUUAAAAGUGAUGCGAGUGUUGUGCUGCCGUGCUGAUGGAUAGUGAAGAAGAAGAACUGUGAUGGUGCUUCUGCAGAGGUGUGAUACAGUCACUCCGCCAGAGAAGAAUAUACAAGGCAGCCAUGAACGGACAUACAAGAAGUCUGGAGAAGUAUACCUGGUAACAAAUGAAGAAAAGGACUGAAAUGACGAGCUGCUUAAAGGAAAAACAAAACUGAGUGUUUGCACUUGAUAUAAUAUUUGCUAAUGUUUCUUACAAAAAAAACAUGUUCUACGACUAAAAUUAUGAAUAUGUGAGAGUGUUAGUUACUUGCUAGUUGAUAUGAAAACAGUUUUCUGUUGCUGUUUGUCAACAUGUUUGAGUCAUAACUUACUGGUAGAUGCCGUUGUAGACCAGCAGCUGAGCAAUGAGAGUGGCCAGCAGGGCAGUGGUCAGCCCUAAACCAAAGCCACUCCUGGAGCGGUCAAAUGUCCACCACAGACCCAGAGACAGGGCAGCCAGAGUUAGCGAUAGCUGCACAUUGUUAGCAAAGUCCAGUUUCUGUAAGGUACUUUGAGUUAAGCAAAAUAUUCUUAUGUUAACAUACAUUUUGAAAACAUUGUGAUGUUAACUCAAGAAUUGAGUUUGUGCAGGUUCCCAAGUUUUUGCUGGUCCACACAUUUGGAGAGCAGUAAACAGGUUCCACAAAAACUUUGUAG
Molecule: non-coding RNA, 862 nt
Organism: Danio rerio (zebrafish)
Lineage: Eukaryota; Metazoa; Chordata; Actinopteri; Cypriniformes; Danionidae
Source: Ensembl